RNAcentral lists this ribosomal RNA (84 nucleotides) under Caerostris darwini. Lineage: Eukaryota; Metazoa; Arthropoda; Arachnida; Araneae; Araneidae. The record is from RNAcentral.
UUCUCGUUAGAUCACCGAAGUCAAGCCUCAUUGGGCGCGGUCAGUACUUGGGUGGGUGACCACCUGAGAACACCGCGGGCCGUU